Pelobates cultripes (western spadefoot toad) is the source of this 363-nucleotide non-coding RNA. The record is from the annotation of a GenBank genome assembly. NCBI's taxonomy places the organism in Eukaryota, Metazoa, Chordata, Amphibia, Anura, Pelobatidae.
CAUUCCCCUGCAAUUUCACUGCUCAAUUCACUGUCAUUUAGGAGUUAAAUCAAUUUGUUUCUGUUUAUGCAGCCCUAGCCACACCUCCCCUGGCUAUGACUGACAGAGCCUGCAUGAAAAAAAAAACUGGUUUCACUUUCAAACAGAUGUAAUUUACCUUAAAUAAUUGUAUCUCAAUCUCUAAAUUAAACUUUAAUCACAUACAGGAGGCUCUUGCAGGGUCUAGCAAGCUAUUAACACAGCAGGGGAUAAGAAAAUCUUAAUUAAACAGAACUUGCAAUAAAGAAAGCCUAAAUAGGGCUCUCUUUACAGGAAGUGUUUAUGGAAGGCUGUGCAAGUCACAUGCAGGGAGGUGUGACUAGG